AUCCAGCUGACGAGUGCCAAAAAUGACGAAACGCGUGUCCUGGAU
Non-coding RNA from Schistosoma rodhaini, 45 nucleotides. The record is from Rfam. NCBI's taxonomy places the organism in Eukaryota, Metazoa, Platyhelminthes, Trematoda, Strigeidida, Schistosomatidae.